Molecule: ribosomal RNA, 512 nt
Filed under: uncultured bacterium
Lineage: Bacteria
Description: bacterial SSU rRNA
Rfam family: Bacterial small subunit ribosomal RNA
Source: RNAcentral
AGAGUUUGAUCCUGGCUCAGGACGAACGCUGGCGGCGUGCUUAACACAUGCAAGUCGAGCGGGGUUUAUCGGAUUAGCUUGCUAAACUGAUAAACCUAGCGGCGGACGGGUGAGUAACGCGUGAGCAAUCUGCCUUAUACAGGGGGAUAACAGGUGGAAACACCUGCUAAUACCGCAUAAGACUCCACUACCGCAUGGUAGAGAAGUCAAAGGGCUUACCGGUAUGAGAUGAGCUCGCGUCCCAUUAGCUAGUUGGUAGGGUAAAGGCCUACCAAGGCGACGAUGGGUAGCCGACCUGAGAGGGUGAUCGGCCACACUGGGACUGAGACACGGCCCAGACUCCUACGGGAGGCAGCAGUGGGGAAUAUUGCACAAUGGAGGGAACUCUGAUGCAGCAACGCCGCGUGAGUGAAGAAGGUUUUCGGAUCGUAAAACUCUGUCAUUGGGGAAGAAUAAAUGACGGUACCCAAUGAGGAAGCCCCGGCUAACUACGUGCCAGCAGCCGCGGUAAU